AUUGAACGCUGGCGGCAGGCCUAACACAUGCAAGUCGAGCGGAUGAAGGGAGCUUGCUCCUGGAUUCAGCGGCGGACGGGUGAGUAAUGCCUAGGAAUCUGCCUGGUAGUGGGGGAUAACGUCCGGAAACGGGCGCUAAUACCGCAUACGUCCUGAGGGAGAAAGUGGGGGAUCUUCGGACCUCACGCUAUCAGAUGAGCCUAGGUCGGAUUAGCUAGUUGGUGGGGUAAAGGCCUACCAAGGCGACGAUCCGUAACUGGUCUGAGAGGAUGAUCAGUCACACUGGAACUGAGACACGGUCCAGACUCCUACGGGAGGCAGCAGUGGGGAAUAUUGGACAAUGGGCGAGAGCCUGAUCCAGCCAUGCCGCGUGUGUGAAGAAGGUCUUCGGAUUGUAAAGCACUUUAAGUUGGGAGGAAGGGCAGUAAGUUAAUACCUUGCUGUUUUGACGUUACCAACAGAAUAAGCACCGGCUAACUUCGU
Molecule: ribosomal RNA, 483 nt
Filed under: uncultured bacterium
Lineage: Bacteria
Description: partial 16S ribosomal RNA
Rfam family: Bacterial small subunit ribosomal RNA
Source: RNAcentral